RNAcentral lists this long non-coding RNA (264 nucleotides) under Lathyrus oleraceus (garden pea). RNAcentral's name for it is "Pisum sativum (pea) long non-coding RNA (PSAT_LNC035175)". Lineage: Eukaryota; Viridiplantae; Streptophyta; Magnoliopsida; Fabales; Fabaceae. The record is from RNAcentral.
GAGAUCGAGUAGCUGAUUUCAAUGAUGGGAUCGGUGAAGCGUUACCAAUUCAGUAGUAGGGAUCAAAGAAGAUUAUGGUGGGCUCUGGUUCAAAAGAGGGUACCAGGAGCGAGUAUGGACAAAAGUCAGUAACAUAUCUCUAAUUUCCAAAUCGGUACCACAUUCAUAUAAAGUCGAGUAGUGGGUACAUUUGCGUACAUACCUGCAUGUGUGGUCGAGUAAUCAUUAUUAUUUUUUAUUGUUGUGAAUAAGCGUGUGAUUAAU